Long non-coding RNA from Saccostrea cuccullata (small rock oyster), 835 nucleotides. RefSeq lists it as uncharacterized. The record is from RefSeq and is a predicted model, not a curated record. The transcript is spliced from 2 exons. NCBI's taxonomy places the organism in Eukaryota, Metazoa, Mollusca, Bivalvia, Ostreida, Ostreidae.
CUCCUCCUCUCACAAGAAAAUAAAGAUAAUGUACUCAGAUAUCUGUUUUAGUAUUGAAAAAAGAAGGAAAGCAGUGAUGUUCUAAACCUUGAUUUAUUUGAUUCUUCCAGAAUUUGUAAUCGACUUUAGCAAAGUUAUUUGAUAAUUCUUUGCUAUUUGAAUUAAUGCUUGUUAUUAUGUACUGUAGGAUGAUUCUGGACAGAAGGUCUGGAUUUGCCCCGCCUGUAAGAUGCCGGACGACGGGAGCCCUAUGAUUGGCUGUGACAUCUGUGAUGACUGGUAUCAUUGGCCUUGUGUUGGACUUAAGGAAGAGCCUGCUGAAGAAGAACACUGGUACUGCUCUAAGUGUAUGGGGAGGAACAAAAAGCCCUCCAAACGGGGGCGGGGGAGAGGGAGGGGCAGGGGGCCAGGCAGGGGGAAGAAAAAGAUGAUGUAAAUAUCAAAAGGAAGUUAAAAGAGGAAUUUAAAGCAAGUUGUGUUUCCAAAAUUAAUAUCAACAGGAACUUAAUGAAAACAAUGUUGACUUUGAGUAAUGGAUAUUACCUGCAUAUAUGAGCUGUAUAUCUAGAAUGUGUGAAACAGAUUAACAUUGUGUUCAGUGUCAAGUGCUAGACAUUUGAUGAAGUUGUGUAGUGCACUGAAAAUUUUCUUUUGUGGAGGCCUAAACUUUCUUGUUACAUUUUUGUAAAAUGUAGAUCGACAUUUGUGCUUUAUUUUGUCAGUAUAAGUGCAUAGGCAGCAUUUCAGUGGAGACUGUAUAAAUUUUGAAGUACAGUUGUACAAAUUUGUUAUUCAUAAGAUGUCUUAGAGUAAUAUUAAAUAAGUGUUAAAUAUU